AUCGCUGCAGGCCUGGUGAAGGAGGAGUUGCUCAGUGAACUACUAGUUUGAGUUCCCUGAGACGGACACCACUGACAUCACCUACAGUGCCGAGGUACAGGCUUAAUGGCAGAUAUCAAUAGGAGAUGAUGGUGCUGCCACGGACUUUGGCUCGUGGGGGUGCCGUCGCUACUGACAAAGCCUUUGCUCCCCGUCGUCCCUGUUGAAAUGGUGGCUGGAACUUGGAGAGGGUUUGCCGCCACAGCUGGAUCCAGUGUUACAUUCCUGUGGCUUUUUGGUUGUUUCCCAAUUAUUGAAGGGAGUUGCAGGCUUAUCAUGGGCGACACAGUGCUUUGCUCGCACCUUCACGGAGUACAGCAAUGUGGGGAAGCAAGUCGAGGACAGCCUCUCUCGAUUUCUGUCCCGGGGGCGCUAUGCUCUUCCAGCUGACACCUUACAGACAUGUCAGGAAGCAAGGAAAGGUUAUUUUUUCACUCAUCGUUUACAUUUGGGUGAUUAACUUAGUCUUGAAAAAAAACACGU
Molecule: unclassified non-coding RNA, 522 nt
Filed under: Ixodes scapularis (black-legged tick)
Lineage: Eukaryota; Metazoa; Arthropoda; Arachnida; Ixodida; Ixodidae
Description: uncharacterized LOC121046685, transcript variant X1
Source: RNAcentral